Long non-coding RNA from Hyaena hyaena (striped hyena), 246 nucleotides. RefSeq lists it as uncharacterized. NCBI's taxonomy places the organism in Eukaryota, Metazoa, Chordata, Mammalia, Carnivora, Hyaenidae. The record is from RefSeq and is a predicted model, not a curated record. The transcript is spliced from 3 exons.
ACUAACAUUCAGUCUGUAGCAAAUGCCCAGGGUCACAUGGCCAGGAGGAGACCCUGCAGAGACAUUCCUAAAGUAGCGGGGUGAACAGAAGGCCCAGAUGGGGAUGCAGAGGAGAGGAAAAGAGGACACCAUAAACUGGUUUUGGAGACUGCACCUUUGUCUAAGAACGUAAGCUGUCUGGAUCCGCUUGGCUCACCUGCAUCCACAGAGCCUACCAGUGUGCCUGGCACCUUGAGGGUCCUCCAA